UCAACUUUUAAAGACCUAGCCUUCAACUUUUAAUGACCUGGCCAUUAACUAUUAACCACCUAGCCCUCAACUUUUAAUGACCUGUUCCUCAACUGUUGGCCAGGUAGCCCUCAAUCAACACUAAUUGCUCAACUGUUGGACACCUAGCCCUCAACUAUGAUAUUUUCUCAACAUUGCUCAACUAAUUUGCAUAAAGUUGAGCAUUGAUAGUUGAGAGCUACCUAAUUUGCAUGGCAAAAAUCCAGGUAGCCCUCAACUGGCCCUCAACUAUUUGCUCAACUGAUGGGCACCUAGCCCUCAACUGUUAGUUCAACUGGCGGCCAGUUGAGCAAUGCAGUUGGCCAUCCUAUCAUUUUUUUCCGUAUGGGAGCUGGCUAAUUAUAAAGUAUAUGUGUCAUUCUCAUUUAUGUAUGUAGUUAAACAUAUUAAUAUCUUUUGACAGAAUUCCCUAACAGGACAUUAAGAAGAUACAACAAAUACUAAUCAUAGAACAGUCAGUAGAUAAAAGGAUGCAAUUAAAGAACUUUAAAUGUCUUUAAAAU
This 542-nucleotide long non-coding RNA is filed under the name Mytilus galloprovincialis (Mediterranean mussel). The record is from RNAcentral. Lineage: Eukaryota; Metazoa; Mollusca; Bivalvia; Mytilida; Mytilidae.